Molecule: ribosomal RNA, 243 nt
Filed under: Paenibacillus agri
Lineage: Bacteria; Bacillati; Bacillota; Bacilli; Caryophanales; Paenibacillaceae
Description: Bacterial large subunit ribosomal RNA
Rfam family: Bacterial large subunit ribosomal RNA
Source: Rfam by way of RNAcentral
GUUCUCCCCGAAAUAGCUUUAGGGCUAGCCUCGGUAUAAAAGUAGUGGAGGUAGAGCACUGAUUGGGUGCGGGGCCCGCAAGGGUUACCAAGCUCAGUCAAACUCCGAAUGCCAUAUACUUGUUGCCGGGAGUCAGACAGUGAGUGCUAAGAUCCAUUGUCAAAAGGGAAACAGCCCAGACCAUCAGCUAAGGUCCCCAAGUGUGUGUUAAGUGGGAAAGGAUGUGGAGUUGCACAGACAACC